RNAcentral lists this long non-coding RNA (681 nucleotides) under Homo sapiens (human). RNAcentral describes it as "non-protein coding lnc-YWHAZ-3:1". The record is from RNAcentral. Lineage: Eukaryota; Metazoa; Chordata; Mammalia; Primates; Hominidae.
CUUCCCCUUCUUCCGGGCUCCCGUCCCGGCUCAUCACCCGGCCUGUGGCCCACUCCCACCGCCAGCUGGAACCCUGGGGACUACGACGUCCCUCAAACCUUGCUUCUAGGAGAUAAAAAGGCCUCACCUCCUGCCGGCUCCGCCCGGCCCGGCCCACCUCGCCCCCACCUCGGCGCCCACCCAUUGUCCCCUCGCGCAGUCACCGAGCGCAGAUCCCGCGCUCUCGAUUGGAACGCCUCCCCAUCACUCAGCCACACUCAGGGGCUGGACGCCUCACUCCCGUUUCCGAGCCAUAAAAGGUCUAGGACCGCUUCCCCCGAGCCAGCAGGUGCACUCGGGACAAGCGUAGAGGAGCUGGAAGCCGAGCGGGGUGGGAGGAGUGGCGGCUGCGGGCGAGGACGCGCGCGCCUCCGCUCGCCCUCCAGCGCGGGCGGGCAGGACGAGCGCCGGGGAGCGGCGGUUACGCGGGGCCCCGAUCGCUGUGGGCACCAAUCAACGGUUGCCAUAGCAGCGUUUGACGUCAUCGUGCGUGUGGUGCCCCUGCUGCCGGGGCUGGUGAUUGGAGGAAACCCCGUGUCUGCGGAGCGGCUGUAGCCUGUGAGCAGCGAGAUCCAGGGACAGAGUCUCAGCCUCGCCGCUGCUGCCGCCGCCGCCGCCCAGAGACUGCUGAGCCCGUCCGUC